UGAAAAAGGAAAGCAUCAUGUGGGAAGUCAAAGGUUAGUAAAUUCAUCUACUUUGUUCAAUGCUGAUAAUGCACUGCUUGAAUGUUUUGUCCAGUUUUUGAUAUUACAGUUCUAGAAAGGUGUGGACCAAUGCUGGAAAGUUCAAGGAAAAGCAACAGGGAUAAUCAGGGGUCUCGAAUACAGGACCUAUGGGGAGAAAGGUUUUGUGUUGUUACACAACAGAGGAAGUUACAGAGGAAAUCAAGGUGAUAACACAGCUAUCAAAGACAAGUGUGCUGCAAAGAGGGAUCUGCUCUUCAUGUCCAACUAGAAAGGAUAAUACCCAAUUUGCUGCAAGAACUGUUUGGAGUAUAAUUUAGGGAAAAAAUCUGGAGCUAAAAAGUACUUUUUCAAGAGAUUAUCAGAGAGUGCUUUGCUUAAGAGUCCUCACUAUUGGAGGUGUUUAAAAGAAGGCUGGGAAAACACAUGCUACUAGUACAUAUAUGGUUGAUCUUUGGGACAGAAAGGUGGACUAGAUAAUCUCUUGGUGUUCCCUUUUGGAUCUGUUUUUCAGAAAACACCUUGAAUCAUAGAUGGGUGAUGAAAUUCAGUUCCAUUUGUGUAUUUGCUCUGAAAACAGUUAUUUAGGGUGUCAAAACUGAAGUUCUUCGGUCGUGGUCUGACAUUAUUCAGUUAGUCUGACAGUUGCUGAAAUCUCCCUUUGUUGUGUUUUCUGCCAAUGCAAACUCAAUAAUCUAAUUAAUAUUUUGAGGUCAGUUUUCCCAUCUCUGCUCCAGACAAUAGGUGCUAAUGCUGGAAAAGAAAAGGACACCACCAAAAGACCCCAAAGACAGAGCAGCUUAUGGAGAGACUGGAAUGGUGCUAACCUGGAGGGAGUCAGCUGAUGGGAGGUCAGGCUGUGCAGGGAGCCUCUGGAAAGGCACAGAGGUUCAGCUCACCUAUGACUUCAGCAACCCAGUGCCCAAAUGGUCAGAGCAGCCAGGACCAGCACCUUCAAUGGCAGGGGGCACUGAGUUCUGCUAUCUGAGCUUUCAGAAGACUUCUGAGCCUGAACCUGUGGAUCUGCGAGCCCCAGGUCACCCAACUGCUGCCCUGUUACACUUUCUCCCCAGCCAGGGAAGAGUGUGCUGUGCCUCAGACUGCUCUUCCAGACAUCACUUGUAAGAAGACAUCACCAUGAGGUGAAUAAAGUACUUUAUCUACAAGGUGUAGCA
RNAcentral lists this long non-coding RNA (1214 nucleotides) under Anser brachyrhynchus (Pink-footed goose). RNAcentral's name for it is "lncRNA (ENSABRG00000003544.1)". Lineage: Eukaryota; Metazoa; Chordata; Aves; Anseriformes; Anatidae. The record is from RNAcentral.